RNAcentral lists this ribosomal RNA (1439 nucleotides) under uncultured organism. Its description in RNAcentral is "SSU rRNA". It matches the Rfam family "Bacterial small subunit ribosomal RNA". The record is from RNAcentral.
UUAACACAUGCAAGUCGAGGGGCAGCAUGGUCUUAGCUUGCUAAGGCCGAUGGCGACCGGCGCACGGGUGAGUAACGCGUAUCCAACCUGCCUUACACUCUUGGACAGCCUUCUGAAAGGGAGAUUAAUACAAGAUGUUAUCAUGAGUAAGCAUUUUCGCAUGAUUAAAGGUUUACCGGUGUAAGAUGGGGAUGCGUUCCAUUAGAUAGUAGGCGGGGUAACGGCCCACCUAGUCUUCGAUGGAUAGGGGUUCUGAGAGGAAGGUCCCCCACAUUGGAACUGAGACACGGUCCAAACUCCUACGGGAGGCAGCAGUGAGGAAUAUUGGUCAAUGGACGAGAGUCUGAACCAGCCAAGUAGCGUGAAGGAUGAAGGUUCUAUGGAUUGUAAACUUCUUUUAUACGGGAAUAAACGAAUCCACGCGUGGAUUUUUGCAUGUACCGUAUGAAUAAGGAUCGGCUAACUCCGUGCCAGCAGCCGCGGUAAUACGGAGGAUCCGAGCGUUAUCCGGAUUUAUUGGGUUUAAAGGGAGCGUAGAUGGGUUGUUAAGUCAGUUGUGAAAGUUUGCGGCUCAACCGUAAAAUUGCAAUUGAUACUGGCAGUCUUGAGUACAGUUGAGGUAGGCGGAAUUCGUGGUGUAGCGGUGAAAUGCUUAGAUAUCACGAAGAACUCCGAUUGCGAAGGCAGCUUACUAACCUGUAACUGACAUUGAUGCUCGAAAGUGUGGGUAUCAAACAGGAUUAGAUACCCUGGUAGUCCACACGGUAAACGAUGAAUACUCGCUGUAGGCGAUAUACAGUCUGCGGCCAAGCGAAAGCAUUAAGUAUUCCACCUGGGGAGUACGCCGGCAACGGUGAAACUCAAAGGAAUUGACGGGGGCCCGCACAAGCGGAGGAACAUGUGGUUUAAUUCGAUGAUACGCGAGGAACCUUACCCGGGCUUAAAUUGCAACCGAAUAUGGCGGAAACGCUAUAGCUAGCAAUAGCGGUUGUGAAGGUGCUGCAUGGUUGUCGUCAGCUCGUGCCGUGAGGUGUCGGCUUAAGUGCCAUAACGAGCGCAACCCUUGCCGAUAGUUACUAACAGGUCAUGCUGAGGACUCUGUCGGGACUGCCAUCGUAAGAUGUGAGGAAGGUGGGGAUGACGUCAAAUCAGCACGGCCCUUACGUCCGGGGCUACACACGUGUUACAAUGGGGGGUACAGAGGGCUGCUACCACGCAAGUGGAUGCAAAUCCCAAAAACCUCUCUCAGUUCGGAUUGAAGUCUGCAACCCGACUUCAUGAAGCUGGAUUCGCUAGUAAUCGCGCAUCAGCCACGGCGCGGUGAAUACGUUCCCGGGCCUUGUACACACCGCCCGUCAAGCCAUGGGAGCCGGGGGUACCUGAAGUGCGUAACCGCAAGGAGCGCCCUAGGGUAAAACUGGUGACUGGGGCUAAGUCGU